This 253-nucleotide ribosomal RNA is filed under the name uncultured bacterium. Its description in RNAcentral is "partial 16S ribosomal RNA". It matches the Rfam family "Bacterial small subunit ribosomal RNA", at positions 524 to 776 of the family's 1533-position model. The record is from RNAcentral.
UACGUAGGGUGCAAGCGUUGUCCGGAAUUAUUGGGCGUAAAGAGCUCGUAGGCGGUCUGUUGCGUCCGCUGUGAAAACUCGGGGCUUAACCCCGAGCCUGCAGUGGAUACGGGCAGACUAGAGGUAGGUAGGGGAGAAUGGAAUUCCCGGUGUAGCGGUGAAAUGCGCAGAUAUCGAGAGGAACACCGGUGGCGAAGGCGGCCAACUGGACGAAUACUGACGCUGAGACUCGAAAGCGUGGGGAGCAAACAGG